This is a non-coding RNA of Agelaius phoeniceus (red-winged blackbird), 8906 nucleotides long. NCBI's taxonomy places the organism in Eukaryota, Metazoa, Chordata, Aves, Passeriformes, Icteridae. The record is from RefSeq and is a predicted model, not a curated record.
CAGUGGAGGCGGCGCCAUCUUGGCGGAGCCGUGCCGGGAGCUGCGGCGCUCGCUGAGCGGCGUGUCCGGUGGGUGCGUGGAUGGAUGGCGUGAGGGACAGAGCACGUCUCCCCUGGGUGCGGAGUGUGGCCGAGGGCGCCGCGAAGUUUGCCGGUUCUCGGUUACCCGACCCUCGCGGAACCGCUGCGCGGCCGCUCCGUGUGCCCCGGCCCCGUGUGCCCCGGCCUUCUCGUGUCCCUGGGCUUCCCACCCCACUUCCCUGCUCCCGGUGCUUCCCCCAGCCCUGUCCCGGUGUCGGGAAGCAGACGGGCCUCUCCGCGGGGGCGCAGCAGCGGUGGCUCUGGCGGGCCGCAGCGCGUGUGGCGCGGGGCGCCCUCCCCUCGCCCCGUGCCCCCCGGCCGUGCCCGGCCCUGCCGCCCGCCGCGGGUCUCUCCAGCAGCGCCGGGGCCGGCGGGCCGACUUGCUGGGAAGCGGUUCCGUGCUACAUUCCACUGUGUAGCGGAGCCAGCUGCAGAGCUCACUCAUGUUUUCCUUCCGCACUGUGCAAACUGCUAUUCGCAGCAGCCUGCUUCCUCUAUUGAGGCUUAUUUUGAAGAACAAAAUAAGAAACCUUCCCCUGUUCCGCUGAUUAUUCUGUACUGGUCCAAUUUCGUAGACGAGGUGUUUCUGUGGGUGUUCUUUCUAGCUUGCAGUCUGUGUGUAAUCUUUCAGUGUUAUGAUAAAAAUCCUAGUCUAGUGCAGACUUAGUUUCCUACCGCGUUUAUAAAUUGUGGAUUAUUUUAAUGGCUUUAAUGUUUGGAAUUUCCUGAGACUGUGGAAGAAUAGGUAUUGUACUGUUUUCUAGCCAAUUUUGCUUAUAUAUAAAAUUUCAUAAAACUGUACACUUCUGUGCUUUUAAGCUGUGGCAUGAAGUUAUUUAUUCUCCAAAUCCUUGCUUUCUGAAGUCCUUGUUCAGUUAAUGAAUUGCUCUUACUUUCAUGACAAGUCAAAUCUUUUUGGUUAUGCACUUUAAAUUUGGAUGGCUUGUCUGUGCUUUCUAUCCAUGUGUGAUGAUUUACUAGACAGUCAGUAAGAGCUAUUAUCUGAACUUGCAUUUGUUUAUGGACUUGUUAGAGAUCCCAUUAUGAUCUGGAACCACUGGUCUGGUUUUCACCACUGAAGGUUGUGUAUUGUAUCCCUGGUUCAUCGUGGAGAACUUGCUGUCUAUCACCGAAGAAUUAUGGAGGAGAGCUGUUGUGAAUGAUGUUUAAAAAUUGGGAUAAGAAAGCGGAGUUGUGAAUCCAGAAGUACUACAGAUUAAAUACAUCAUGAAGUAGCAGGGAAGCGGCUUUGCUUUUUCAAGACAUGAAGGUGCUGUAUGAAAAUUCUGCCCUUGAAUUCUCCAUGCUUUUUUGGCACUGUCAUUGCAUCUGUUGAGAAGACACGUUGUAAAGUGUUCUGGGUCUGGCUGGGACAGAGUUAACGUUCUUCACAGCAGCCCAUACAGUUGUUUGGAUUUGUGGCUAAAGGAAUGUUGACAACACGUCGUGUUUUGGCUGUGGCUGAACAGCGCUUGCACAGUAUCAAGGCUUUAUCGAUGUUCCCUACUCUGUUCCUGCAGUGAGUCUGCUCAGAGUAGGUGAGAAGCUGGGAGGGAACAUGGCUGGGACAGCUGACCCAAACUCACCAAAGGGAUAUCUGUGACAUGUAACAUCAUGCUGGGCAACAAAAAUGGAGGUAGAGGAAGAAGUAUUUUAAUGGUUUUGGUUUCUAUCUUGGCUCUCAAGGCAGUUGUUAUUUGGAGGAAGGCUGGACAUCAGUCAGCCUGUGGGCGGUGGUGAGUGAUUUUCUUUGUUUUGUGUUUUUCUUUCCACCAAUGAAACUGUCUUUAUCUUGACCCACAAGUUUUCUUGACUUUGUUCUUUCCCAUCCCACUGAUGGGAGGAGGAGUGAACAAUCAGCUGUGUGGGUGCCUGGCUGCUGGCUGGGGUCGACUCACCUCAAAAGCGCACAGAACAGAUGGUCAUCAGUGAAGUUUGUAAAUGGGCAGUUGUUGUCGGUUUGUUGUGCUUAUGGAGUAUUGGUGCAGAAGUGACAUGGAGUCUGUUAGUGACAGAACUUGGGCUUUGCUCUUGUUUUGCUGUGUUCAGGUGGAGUGGCAGUAAUGGUUAUUGGUUGGUAACUCGUCAUCAGGAUCUAGUGCUUUAUAGAGCAAGGUUUGUAGGAGUGUUUGCAAAUGCUCAGAGCAUUGGGCUGUUGUGUUUGUUUUAAAGGGAUGCAGUCAUUUGCUACAGAGACUUGUGUUUGUUCUGAGAAUAUUGUCCUAUUUAUUGUGUGAUGUUGGAAAAUGUUGAAAAUCAGGGUAUGUUAAGUCAGUGUAUUCAAGGUUUUCUUGUUCUUACGUUUGAAAGGCAGUAGAGUAAGGAUUUAGGGAAAAUACUGAAGUUGGCUUUGUAAAUUCAGGUACAUUCUGAAGUUUCUCCUUGUUGGAUAUUUUUGUUUCAUUUGAUGGGCUUCACUGCGUAUGUUAAGUGCAGUCCUGGACUGGUGAGUAGCAUACUCUUGUGAAGUUUGAAUCCAGGUGGAUUUCAGAAGAAUGGACAUGUCAUGUAAUCCUGAGAUGGACCUAAGCACCUUCCAAGAACCCAGUUGAGAACUGUUCCCUCGAUACACUGUCAGUCUGUUUCAUUGCAACAGUUCAGUGUGGCACAAUUGAUGACCAAGUAAUCUCAUCGUAUUUUCAUCGUUUCCUGAAGUCAACUUAAAUUAUGAAUUUCUUUUGCUUCUAAAAUGGAAACAGAAAGAUAUGGUGCAUGGCAUCUUGGAACAUGGAAGGAGUUCUUCACAUGGGUUCAUACAUGCUUGGCUUUAGCAUUAGCCACUGCUAUGGAUGGGCUGCAGCAGUGUAGCACAGUGUGUAAAGCAAAGUACAGGUAUCAGCCAUUAAUUAUGUUUCGUUUUCUUUCCACAGUUAAGUUGAUUUUACAGAAUUUAUCAGGUCUCCAAAGCAGAAACAGGUGAUUUUUGCUGUGGGUUGAGCUCAGCAUGGCUGUAGUCAUCCGUUUACAGGGGCUUCCUGUUGUUGCGGGUCCUCCAGAUAUUCGUCGUUUCUUCUUGGGAUUGAAUAUUCCCGAUGGAGGUGUGCAUAUUAUUGGAGGAGAGAUUGGGGAGGCUUUUAUUAUAUUUGCCACAGAUGAAGAUGCACGGCGUGCCAUGAGCUGUUCGGGAGGGUUUAUCAAGGACUCGCGCAUAGAGCUCUUUCUCAGCAGCAAGGCAGAGAUGCAGAGUACCAUAGAAAUGAGCCGGAAACGCUUUGACCGUGGGGGACGCGAAACUAUGUCUGGCUCUAGAAGAACAGGUACUAAUGGUUCUAGUGCAUCAAGUAUUGGAGAUAUACCACAUUUAGUUACAGCUUCCCCAAAAGGAAUAAGAAAACCUAGUUACGGGCCACCAAAUCGCCUGGAGGCUGGUUUCCAUACCAACGGUACAAGAUACUGUGAUAUGGGUAUACCUAAGUCAAACUAUCAGUUAAGAAAGGAUUGCCACCCGUUUAACCCGGAUGAUCGUUACCUCUUUCUACGUGGUAUACCUUACUCUGCAACGGAAGUGGAAGUACGUGCUUUCCUUUCGGGGAUUCGCGUGGAUGGAGUGAUUCUGAUAAAGCACCGCAAUGGUUUAAACAAUGGUGAUUGCUUGGUAAGAUGUGCUACACCCGGUGAUGCCUUAGAAGGACUUAAACGUCACAGACAAUACAUGGGUCAGAGGUUUAUAGAAAUCAGUCCAACCACAGAGGAACGGUGGAUGGAAUGCGGUGGGCGGAUAGACGUGCCAGAUGAAAUGGAUGACUUUUUGUGUGAAGACCAUUCUCCGAGAAGUUCGGGCUACAUGCAUUCAAGGAAGCAUUCUCGUUCAAGAUCACCAAGGAGACAAAGAACACAUUCUCGUUCAUCUCCUAGCCAGGAAUAUUACAUACACUUAAGAAAUCUAUCUUUUAAUGUGGAAAAGAGAGAUUUGAGAGAUUUUUUUCCUGAACUGGAUAUACACAGCAAACAGAUUAAGAUUCUAACAGAUAAGCAUCAGAAAAGGACUAGAGAUGCCUUUGUGGUGUUCAGGAGUGAGAGAGAAUAUCAGGCUGCUUUGGAAUGUCAUAGAAAGGUUCUUCUCAAUCGUCCUGUGUACAUUUUUCCAAUUUCAAGAAAGUCAAUGUUGAAAAUAAUUGACUCUUGUGAGAGGAAAAGAUCACCGGACAGAGAUCAUCUUGGACAGGCCAUAUCAGAAAAAAGUUACCGGGAAGGUCAUUCCAGCCCUAAGAAUUGUGUUUAUGUAAGGAAUUUUCCAUUUGAUGUGUCAAAAAUUGAAGUGCAGAAGUUCUUUUCAAGAUUUGAUAUUGACGAAGAUGAUAUUUACUUGCUUUAUGAUGAAAAAGGAGUUGGACUGGGAGAAGCACUAGUGAAGUUUAAAUCUGAAGAACAAGCUAUGAAAGCAGAAAAUUUAAACCGUCAAACAUUUUUGGGAACAGAAGUGUUAAUAAGACUUAUAUCUCAAGAUCAGAUGCAGAAGUUUGGUGUCGCUGCAUCAUUAUCUGCACCAAAUGAAAUGCAUGGUCAUUCACAUCCGUAUGACAGAGGUGACCUCUCCCGUCCAGUUGGUUCACCAUCUGGGCCACCACAAGGGCCACCCAUGCAUUCUUUUGGUCCCCCUGGGAACUUCAGGCAUCAUUCUGAAUUUAGACAUCCCCCUGAGGACUUCAUGUGCCCUCCUAAGGAUUUUAGGGGUCCACCACCCCUCAUGGAUUUUGGUGGUGACAGUGAACCUUUUGGCAGAAUGGAGUUUGGGAAUAAUAAAAUGGGAAAUUUUCCUGAAGGAAGAUUUAUGCCAGAUCCAAAUUUCAGUGGUGGUUCUGAACGUGUUGUUCCUAUUCUGUUGAAAAAUUUACCUUUUAAGGCUACUCCUAAUGAGAUUCUGGAUUUUUUCUAUGGCUAUAGAGUGAUACCGGAGUCAGUUUCUGUGCAGUACAAUGAACAAGGAUUACCUUCUGGUGAUGCCAUUGUUGCUAUGACAAACUAUGAGGAAGCUAUGGCUGCUAUUAAUGAACUGAAUGAUAGGCCCAUUGGUCCACGGAAAGUUAAGUUGAGUUUGCUGUAAAGGAGGAAAAGAUGCUCUAAUAACACAUUCUAGGUUUGACAGUAUUGACAGUUAUUUUAACUUUUAAUUACUGGAAGAUGCAAAACAGUUUCCAUCAACGGUUGUAAAUAAUACCCAGUUCAGUUGUUUAGCUCUUGGUUGAAAUACCUGUAGGACAUUGAAUGUCUUACAUCAAGGUAUAAAAGGAUGGAGUUGUAAUGCUUUGGGUUUUUUUUUUAGAUUAAUUCCAGUCUUAUGUCUUUGCAUCAAAUAAAAACAAUCAGAAGGGGCUGCCCUUUCUUCACUGACCUAUGGUGACUGCAUUAGUUGGGUGUUCCACCCCUUUUUUCUGCCAUAUGAUCCUCUUUUGCAGACACACUGCACAGCCAAUAAGCUGUGCUAACACACCAUUUGUAAGAUGGGAGUACAGAUUCUUUGCUCUCUGUAGCCAAAGUUGUUCACUGCUGCAACAUCACAGUUGAUCAAGAAUAAGAGAACCCCUGCAGGAGCCCAGCUGCUGUGUCCUAAUGUGGUAAAGCCUCUCUCAGACCUGAAAGCUGACCUGCACACAUCCUCAUAAGCAAAUGAACACAUUCCUGCUCCUAAUACGUUUUAAUGUGUUUUAAGUGUCAAUCUGACCUUUUUAAAUGUCAAUCACUUUAAUAUGCUAAUAGGCAGCAUUUGGUGCUUUUGCCAUGUGCAGAAUCAGACUGUACUGAGAUUUCAUAACUCUUCAGGCAAAGCCUUAAGUGUAGAAAACAGGUGUUACAAGAAGCUAAGUCACAGAAGAGUAUUUGGGAGAAGCUUAGAAAAGAAACAAGAAGAGAUUAACUAGGUGCCAGUGACAUACCCAUGAAAUGAAAUGAAAUGGGAAUUAGCUCGAGAGAGAAAAAUGGGACCAGUCUCCCUUUGGGAAAAAACCAGCUUAUUGUUAUAAGUUACUCCCUUAAUUCCAACAGAAGAUAACUUUGCAACACAACUCAAUUCUAACCCUGUGGCUGACAAAUGUCUGUUGUUAUUACAGGAGGAAUUCUAAUUAGUCAUGACUUAGUUUAACUGAUUUGAUUAAUAUUAAAUGAAAAUUCUCUGGCAAAGACAAAAAUAAAAUGUAGUUCUCCUGUGUUCAGUUUGACUCUUUCUACAGUCUCAUGCCCCAGUCACUACAAAGAUCCUGAACAUUCUGAAAAAGUUGAUAAAAUCCAACAAUGUAUAGGACUCCUUAACUCCCAAAUCCAACACUCAGAUGUAAUAAAAAGUAAACAGCACAUCAUGAACCUAGAUCCUGUAUCAUAAUAUGUAAGCAUAAAGGGACUGAAGUAGGAUUGCCUUGAUCCCAUUUAUUUUGGCAUUCCCUAGAUUCUGAUUGCUUCAAAAUUUAAAACUUCAGUGAGAUUUUAAUGGAAAUUCUAAUUCAGUUUGACAGAGGCUUAAUUUUUCUCGUUGUGAUAUAGAAUAGUAUACUGGGGAGGGUGACGGAUCUUUGGAAAGGAAGAGUAGUCUAGAUGAGUAUUCUACUAACAGAAUAACAACUUAUCCUUUCAUGCAGCUGGAGGAAACUCAUAUCCCAUCUAGAUACCAGGAAGCACAAUAACCAAAAUGGCAGGGAGAAAAACAGUAAAUCCACAGAAAUAAAAAAUAAAUUGUCUGAUUACACUUACUUUCAAAAGCUUCCAAAUUCCUGAUGUAAUCUAUGCCUACCUCUCUUGCAUAAACAUAUCAAAUAAUUUAUAGUUUCUUUUCAAUUCAAAAGUGAGUAACUACUGCUCUGUAGCAGCUGUAACUCUUCAUUAAGUUUAAGAAAAGAUUCAACAUUGGAAACAGUUUCUCUAAGCAGCAUUAGUGUUAUUACUACUUCCCAAGCAUAACAGUUUAAUUCCAAAGAAAUUCUAAAAAUAUUUCUCAUAGUGACUAGAAACGCAGGAUACAAUAACGUGUAGAUCUGAUGGAUUCCGCUGACGUGUCUUUUCCAGUUGAGAUAAUUGCUUGGCUUCUCGGCUCUUUGCUGUUAAAGUUGCUCUAAGAUCAUCCUGGAAAUAAAAUGUUUUAGACAGGUUUGAAAUACAUCUAGGAUAAUACAAAAUAUGCUUUCCUUCAUACAUGCAUUGCCUAGAAAACAUGGACAAAACUUCUGCUUCAAAUAAAACCAGAUUUUAGUGACCUGUUAAUUGAUCCUAUGAAAGAGAAGUCUAGUGGGGAUUGAGAGAGUUUAGCACCUUGUGCAACUCCCUAUAGCACAUGUUAUGAUUGAAAAUGUGGGGAAGGAAAGAAAGAUAUUCACAGCUUUACAUGAAAAGUAUAGCAGAUGGUCACAAGCUGAGAUCCCCAGAGCAUUAAGAAGGCAGACUCAUUCCUGACUUAGCAAUAGAAUAAAUGUGGUACUUAGAAAUAAAAAGAAGCAUCAAAUAAAAUGGCAUCAUUAAAAAAAACCAAAACAACAAAGCAGGCAGUAAUCAGUACCAAGGAGAAGUUAUGAAGAAAAUGUAACUGCUGUCACUGCUGACAGUGGAGCUGCUGAAGGGGCUGGAGCAGAAGUCUGAUGAGGAGUGGCUGAGGGAGCUGGGAGUGUUUAGCCUGGAGGAGGCUCAGGGGGAACCUGAGCUCUCUACAGCUCCCUGAAAGGAUGCUGUAGCCAGGUGCGGGUCAGUCUCUUCUCCCAGGCAACCAGUGACAGGAUGAGGACAUAUAAGCUGCACCAUUUAUUUUUAAAUGAAAUAUUAGGAUUUUUUUUUCCAUGGGAGGGGUGGUCAGGCAUUGGAAUAGGCUGCCCAUGGAACCGGUAGAAUCACCAUUCUGGAAGUGUUAGAAAAGGUGUCCCUGGCACCUGGGGACAUAGUUUACUGGUGAACAUGGGGGUGCCGGGCUAAUGGUUGGACUCAAUGAUUACAGAGGUCCUUUUCAACCUAAACAAUUCUGUGCUACAAGGUACCAUAGGAAUUCUAUGACUGAAAGGGUUAAACUGCGUAUUUAUACAUAUGCAUUUACUAAAGUGUUUAAAACCAUUUGAAACAAAAUACAUCCAAGUAAUGGUGGAGCUGGAGAAGAUAAAACUUAACCAAUACAGAAAAGGCAGAAACUGUUGACAACUGGUUUUGCUCCAUUUCCAAAGGAGAAGUAGUAUGUACUUCUAGGAAGACCUGUGACAAUUUAAGAAUGUUCAUCUACCAGUUUUCUCAAAUUUUCAUGCUAAAAAACUGUUUUGUAAACUGUUUGACAUUCAUGGAAUGUAAGAUUAUCAGUCAAGUAUUUAUCACUUCACUGAUGCUGGUAUGGAAAAGCUCAUUAAUUUUGAUGGUUCCAGUUUAAAGGAGCAGUAGUUUAGAACAAGCAGAAAUAUAGUCUAAAGUCUAACAAAAUCUGAGGUAGGAUUUGGCAUGCAUUUCAAAUGACCUUUUACUCUAAAAUACCACUUCCACUCUUAUUUACUACUCUAAAAUGGAGUUAGAGCUAUAAGAAACUAUCAUAUUGGGAAGUUGUCUGUGCUCCUUCCUUGGAUUUCAAUUUUAAUGCUUGUAUAUGUCACCAUGACAGAAGGAUAUGCAACUAAGAAUAUGUCUUUCAGUAAGUUUUGUGAUCCUGUGACCAGAUCACUACUCAGUGACAAGCACAAGAUUGCCAAGUUUCACAGUGCUAUGUUUCUUCAAUAAUGAGGCUGUACAUGAGGACAGGGUCAAAACAUGCAGUUUCUUACUUGUUUCUAUCCUUACUGUCUGUAUGUCCUUGUAUAUAACUGUCAUUUUGCUUCAUCUCCAGGGACACAGAGCUGGCUUCUGAUAAUAAAAACUACUUCAUCUUCAGCCCAUGAA